CCUCUAUCAUUGCGAGGGGGUCCACGCCCUCCAAAGCCACCAUUUGGGCGGUUGUCAUGGUAACCAUUCACAAAACCAUUGGCACGUGUGCUAUCCCAGCCAGGCGAGUAGAGGUUUACUGGUGCCACUGAAUAACCGCACUGUCUACCAGCGGAAUAAGCAUUUCCUGCUGUGGAAUAAGAAAACAGCAAAAAACGAGAAAAACGUCAAGUGUGCAAAGACAAGAACUGUUUUGCUGCUGCAAAAAAA
Thalassophryne amazonica is the source of this 249-nucleotide long non-coding RNA. RefSeq lists it as uncharacterized. The transcript has 3 exons. The record is from RefSeq and is a predicted model, not a curated record. NCBI's taxonomy places the organism in Eukaryota, Metazoa, Chordata, Actinopteri, Batrachoidiformes, Batrachoididae.